AUACGGAGGGUGCAAGCGUUAUCCGGAUUUACUGGGUUUAAAGGGUACGUAGGCGGCUUGGUCAGUCAGUAGUGAAAGCCAACAGCUCAACUGUUGAAGGGCUACUGAUACUGCCAAACUUGAGUCCUGUCGAAGUAAGCAGAAUUCCACAUGUAGCGGUGAAAUGCUUAGAUAUGUGGAGGAAUACCGAUAACGAAAGUAGCUUACUAGGCUGUGACUGACGCUGAGGUACGAAAGCGUAGGGAGCGAACAGGAUUAGAAACCCUAGUAGUCC
RNAcentral lists this ribosomal RNA (274 nucleotides) under uncultured bacterium. RNAcentral describes it as "partial 16S ribosomal RNA". It matches the Rfam family "Bacterial small subunit ribosomal RNA", at positions 523 to 796 of the family's 1533-position model. The record is from RNAcentral.